This 87-nucleotide transfer RNA is filed under the name Thermoplasmata archaeon. RNAcentral's name for it is "tRNA-Ser". It matches the Rfam family "tRNA". From Rfam's summary of the family: Transfer RNA (tRNA) molecules are approximately 80 nucleotides in length. Their secondary structure includes four short double-helical elements and three loops (D, anti-codon, and T loops). RNAcentral also lists the same sequence under 1 other name. Lineage: Archaea; Methanobacteriati; Thermoplasmatota; Thermoplasmata. The record is from RNAcentral.
GCCGAGGUAGCUAAGCCCGGUUCAAGGCGAUGGCCUCGAGAGCCAUUGGUGCUCUGCACCGCGGGAGUUCGAAUCUCCCCCUCGGCG